UCCAAAGCUCUUUUUAUAUUAGUAUAGAUGCAUUGCAUUCUUUUUAAACAUAGUAUAAUUAAAGAAGAUAAAAUGAAAUAAGAGAAAAAAAAAUUAACUCGUAAGCUAGCUUGAGGAGCUAAACUUGUGGCUAGGUGAAUAAUAAAUCAUACCACUUAAACUAUUAUUGCUGAGGUAUAAGUGCAUAAGAGCUGUCAUGUUCCCCACUUCUCUCGGGAUUGAUCCGGUAAGUUCGUUGGAACCCAACAACAUGUACCAUAAAUUAUGAAGAUUUCCAAUCUCUUUCGGAAUAGUACCUGGAGAAUAAUCCCACAAGACAAUGUAUGACCCCUACCAACUUCAAGACAACAUACCUCUUAAUUAAAGAAGAUCAAAUGAAAUAAGAGAAAAAGAAAUUAACUCGUAAGCUAGCUUGAGGAGCUAAACUUGUGGCUAGGUGAAUAAUAAAUCAUACCACUUAAACUAUUAUUGCCGAGGUUUAAUCUGACCAAAGCUGUCAUGUUCCCCACUUCUCUUGGGAUUGAUCCGCUAAGUUCGUUGGAACCCAACCACAUGUCCUGCAAAUUAUGAAGAUUUCCAAUCUCU
RNAcentral lists this long non-coding RNA (585 nucleotides) under Salvia miltiorrhiza (redroot sage). Its description in RNAcentral is "long non-coding RNA (SMIL_LNC006435)". The record is from RNAcentral. Lineage: Eukaryota; Viridiplantae; Streptophyta; Magnoliopsida; Lamiales; Lamiaceae.